RNAcentral lists this ribosomal RNA (442 nucleotides) under uncultured bacterium. RNAcentral describes it as "partial 16S ribosomal RNA". It matches the Rfam family "Bacterial small subunit ribosomal RNA", at positions 338 to 795 of the family's 1533-position model. The record is from RNAcentral.
CCUACGGGAGGCUGCAGUGGGGAAUCUUGCGCAAUGGGCGAAAGCCUGACGCAGCGACGCCGCGUGUGGGAUGACGGCCUUCGGGUUGUAAACCACUGUCGGGAGGGACGAAGUUCUGACGGUACCUCCAAAGGAAGCACCGGCUAACUCUGUGCCAGCAGCCGCGGUAAUACAGAGGGUGCAAGCGUUGUCCGGAAUCACUGGGCGUAAAGGGCGCGUAGGCGGCCUGGUAAGUCGGGGGUGAAACGCUUCGGCUCAACCGCGGCACUGCCUGCGAGACGGCCUGGCUUGAGCACGGUAGAGGCUGGUGGAAUUCCCGGUGUAGCGGUGGAAUGCGUAGAGAUCGGGAAGAACAUCGGUGGCGAAGGCGGCCAGCUGGGCCGUUGCUGACGCUGAGGCGCGACAGCGUGGGGAGCAAACAGGAUUAGAUACCCCAGUAGUC